UAUUUUUAGUAGAGAUGGUGUUUACCAUGGCUGGUCUUGAACUCCUGACCUCAAGUAAUCCACCUGCCUCGACCUCCCAGAGUGCUGGGAUUACAGGUGUGAGCCACUACACCUGGCCUACUUCUGGCAUUAAAGUGCUCUAGUUUUGGUAGAAUCUUCUCCUUGACUUCAGGACCCUCUCCACAUUUAUCCCCAGUCUAUAACUCACAUUAUUUCAUGUUUUCAAACAGAAAACCGUAAUUCAGGAGUAAACACCAUCCUCUGUAAGAUGUGUCACAGGAGCAGCCUGAAAUCUAUUAGACAGUCAUUCUGAAGCUGUGGUGAAAUGGAAGGGAAGCUAAUGUUGCAGCUAUGGAGAUGAGAUCCAAGCUCAGGAUCACACUUUUUCCAGAAUACUUUUUCAGUGUUUCCAAAACCAGCAAAAGUCAUUUAGAAGUCUCAUCUCCAGACUGCCAGACUACACAAAGGGGAACGUGAAGCUCUUUCAUAAAUGGUACCAAGUCCAAGAGAACUCCUUAAGGCAGCUCCAAUCGAAGGCUGUCUUGGCUGCUUCUGGAAACAACGAUCACUACUCCCAAAGUCAAAAACGACUAGAACACAGCCUUAAAAAUCAAGUCAUUUAAUCGUGUCUUUGAAGGUAAACAAUAUAUGGAGCUGGAUCACAACCCCUGAGAAUGCCAGAGCUGUGGGUCCAAAACAUGGUGUGGUAUUGUCAGCAGAGUUCAGAAGGGUCUGGACUCUACGUGUUACCAGGCAGAAAACAUGAUGGAAUUCAUGCAUUCCAUUUAGCGAUUGUGUAAAAUUCCAGAAACAGACCCCAAGAAUCUUUCAACAUGGGGAAAAUUCAACUUCUGGUUUUACAGAGAAACGAAUGAAGAGUUACCAAAACGCUUUGUUGAUUUCUCCUCAUUUUCCUCACACAAUCUGAAGCCUGAGCUGACUAUCAUAUCCCCAGCUCCCAGCAGCUGAAGCUGCAGUUCAGGUUUGAGCUCAGUCUCCAUACUCUUCCAUGUAGCACCACAGCAAGAGUGGCCGGAGGCAGAGAGCUCUCGGCGGGCCAGCUUCCUAACGAGCACGCCGAGUGGAAAAGAACCCUCUGGCAGCAGACUGGUUUAGUUUGUGAGAUUUUAAUUUACAAAUUAAAAAAGCUAUUUAAUACAUGUUUUACUUUUUCUCCUUUUUCUCCUCUUUCUUUACAUCACUCUUUUCCUUAUCUUUAUCUUUCUCCUUGUCCUCUUUCCUAUCCUUUUUGCUGUCUUCUUUCUCCUGCCCUUCUUUCUUCUCUGCAUCACGGUUGGCAAUCUUGUUGUUGAUGAGGUUGUGCAAGGCGACCACGGAACGGAUCAGCGAGGCCAAGUACACUACCACCAUCUGGUCGUUGGUCUUCAGGUAAAAGGCCUUGACAAACUCCUGCAGGCUGACGUCUGGCAGCAGGUUGAAGACGUCCUGCAGCUGGUAGAUGAUCUGGUGGUUGAUAGGCAGCUUGCCUGUGGCGACUUUUUCCAGGUAGCUCCUGAUAUCCAGAAGCUUGGAGUUCAGUCCCUUCAAACCAUGGACCUGGUUUGUGAUCCGCUGGGACAGAGUGCCCACCGUCGUGUCUUUGAUGUCUCUGUAAUAACCCGCAGUUAGAAAGGGCAGGAAAAGGCAUCGGGUACCAUGUUAUCACGCAAGGUCUUACAUUCUAAGAAAAUACCUAGCUUUGUUGGGUGCGGCAAGUUUUUAAAAGAAAAAUGUCACUUUUCCAUUUGAUAAUGAUUUAGUUAUCAAUUA
Long non-coding RNA from Piliocolobus tephrosceles (Ugandan red Colobus), 1770 nucleotides. RefSeq lists it as uncharacterized. The transcript has 2 exons. Lineage: Eukaryota; Metazoa; Chordata; Mammalia; Primates; Cercopithecidae. The record is from RefSeq and is a predicted model, not a curated record.